CACCAUGGAAACAGGAUGGGUUCUUAUUCAAAGAAGCUAGCUCUCACAAAUAUUUUGAAACACCUACUUAAUAAUAUUUUCUCCAAUUCCAUCCCAGGAUAAAGUCCUAGGAAUGGAGUUACUGUGUCAAAGAGGAAAAAUAGUUUGGUCAGCAGAGACUGUGUGAGGAGCCUGGACUUCAACUCCCACCCAGCAGUAAAAUAAAACCAUUCGGGAUCCCUGGGUGGCGCAGCGGUUUGGCGCCUGCCUUUGGCCCAGGGCGCGAUCCUGGAGACCCGGGAUCGAGUCCCACGUCGGGCUCCCGGUGCAU
This is a long non-coding RNA of Canis lupus familiaris (dog), 310 nucleotides long. RefSeq lists it as uncharacterized. The record is from RefSeq and is a predicted model, not a curated record. Lineage: Eukaryota; Metazoa; Chordata; Mammalia; Carnivora; Canidae. The transcript is spliced from 3 exons.